AGGUUACUGCUAUCGGUGUUCGCCUAAGCCAUGCGAGUCAUAUGUUCGUAAGAACAUGGCGUACUGCUCAGUAACACGUGGAUAACCUGCCCUUGGGUCCGGCAUAACCCCGGGAAACUGGGGAUAAUUCCGGAUAACGCACAUAUGCUGGAAUGCUUUAUGCGUAAAAUGGAUUCGUCUGCCCAAGGAUGGGUCUGCGGCCUAUCAGGUAGUAGUGGGUGUAAUGUACCUACUAGCCUACGACGGGUACGGGUUGUGAGAGCAAGAGCCCGGAGAUGGAUUCUGAGACAUGAAUCCAGGCCCUACGGGGCGCAGCAGGCGCGAAAACUUUACAAUGCGGGAAACCGUGAUAAGGGGACACCGAGUGCCAGCAUCCUAUGCUGGCUGUCCGGGUGUGUAAAAUACACCUGUUAGCAAGGGCCGGGCAAGACCGGUGCCAGCCGCCGCGGUAACACCGGCGGCCCGAGUGGUGAUCGUGAUUAUUGGGUCUAAAGGGUC
This 498-nucleotide ribosomal RNA is filed under the name uncultured archaeon. RNAcentral describes it as "bacterial SSU rRNA". It matches the Rfam family "Archaeal small subunit ribosomal RNA", at positions 21 to 519 of the family's 1478-position model. The record is from RNAcentral.